This 373-nucleotide ribosomal RNA is filed under the name uncultured organism. RNAcentral's name for it is "partial 16S ribosomal RNA". It matches the Rfam family "Bacterial small subunit ribosomal RNA", at positions 524 to 896 of the family's 1533-position model. The record is from RNAcentral.
GGGAGGGGGGGCUAGCGUUGUUCGGAAUUACUGGGCGUAAAGGGCGCGUAGGGCGGCUUUGCCAGUCAGGGCGUGAAAGCCCCGGGCUUAACCUGGGAAUUGCGCUUGAUACUGCGAAGCUAGAGAUCGGGAGAGGAGAGUGGAAUUCCCAGUGUAGAGGUGAAAUUCGUAGAUAUUGGGAAGAACACCAGUGGCGAAGGCGGCUCUCUGGACCGAUACUGACGCUGAGGCGCGAAAGCGUGGGGAGCAAACGGGAUUAGAUACCCUGGUAGUCCACGCCGUAAACGAUGUGCGCUAGACGUUGGGGGUUAGGCCCUCGGUGUCGCAGCUAACGCAUUAAGCGCACCGCCUGGGGAGUACGGCCGCAAGGUUA